This 232-nucleotide unclassified non-coding RNA is filed under the name plant metagenome. RNAcentral describes it as "partial contains small subunit ribosomal RNA, internal transcribed spacer 1, and 5.8S ribosomal RNA". The stretch from base 1 to 53 matches the Rfam family "Eukaryotic small subunit ribosomal RNA", at positions 1779 to 1831 of the family's 1831-position model. The record is from RNAcentral.
GGAGUAAAAGUCGUAACAAGGUUUCCGUAGGUGAACCUGCGGAAGGAUCAUUCAUAAUAAAGUGUUUUAUGGCACUUUUUAAAAAUCCAUAUCCACCUUGUGUGCAAUGUUAGAUCUCGUCGAUCUUGGCGAGAUUUUUAUACAUCAACUCAUUCUUUAACUAAUUUGUCUGAAAAAUAUUAUGAAUACUUAAUUCAAAAUACAACUUUCAACAACGGAUCUCUUGGCUCUC